UCCGGCUUAUCACCGGCGGUUUCUUUAGAGUGCCCAACUAAAUGAUGGCAACUAAAGACGAGGGUUGCGCUCGUUGCGGGACUUAACCCAACAUCUCACGACACGAGUUGACGACGGCCAUGCAACACCUGUGCAUGCUCCCCGAGGGGUCCCUCACCUUUCGGGUCGGUACCACAUGCAUGUCAAACCUGGGUGAGGUUCUUCGCGUAUCAUCGAAUUAAACCACACGCUCCGCUGCUUGUGCGGGCCCCCGUCAAUUCCUUUGAGUUUUAGCCUUGCGGCCGUAGUCCCCAGGCGGAGUACUUAUCGCGUUAGCUGCGGCACCGAGGGGGUCGAUACCCCCGACACCUAGUACUCAUCGUUUACAGCGUGGACUAC
This 378-nucleotide unclassified non-coding RNA is filed under the name uncultured Chloroflexota bacterium. Its description in RNAcentral is "uncultured Chloroflexi bacterium contains 16S-23S intergenic spacer region". Lineage: Bacteria; Bacillati; Chloroflexota. The record is from RNAcentral.